GAUGAACGCUGGCGGCGUGCCUAAUACAUGCAAGUCGAGCGAACAGACGAGGAGCUUGCUCCUCUGACGUUAGCGGCGGACGGGUGAGUAACACGUGGAUAACCUACCUAUAAGACUGGGAUAACUUCGGGAAACCGGAGCUAAUACCGGAUAAUAUAUUGAACCGCAUGGUUCAAUGGUGAAAGACGGUUUUGCUGUCACUUAUAGAUGGAUCCGCGCCGCAUUAGCUAGUUGGUAAGGUAACGGCUUACCAAGGCAACGAUGCGUAGCCGACCUGAGAGGGUGAUCGGCCACACUGGAACUGAGACACGGUCCAGACUCCUACGGGAGGCAGCAGUAGGGAAUCUUCCGCAAUGGGCGAAAGCCUGACGGAGCAACGCCGCGUGAGUGAUGAAGGUCUUCGGUUCGUAAAACUCUGUUAUUAGGGAAGAACAAAUGUGUAAGUAACUAUGCACGUCUUGACGGUACCUAAUCAGAAAGCCACGGCUAACUACGUG
RNAcentral lists this ribosomal RNA (497 nucleotides) under uncultured bacterium. RNAcentral describes it as "partial 16S ribosomal RNA". It matches the Rfam family "Bacterial small subunit ribosomal RNA", at positions 28 to 507 of the family's 1533-position model. The record is from RNAcentral.